Molecule: small nuclear RNA, 94 nt
Filed under: Schistosoma mattheei
Lineage: Eukaryota; Metazoa; Platyhelminthes; Trematoda; Strigeidida; Schistosomatidae
Source: RNAcentral
CUACUCGCUUUGGCGGUACAUAUGCUAAAAAUGGAACAAUACAGAGAAGAUUAGCAUGGCGCCUGCACAAAAUUGUGAAGCGUUUCAUAUCUUC